This 460-nucleotide ribosomal RNA is filed under the name uncultured bacterium. RNAcentral's name for it is "partial 16S ribosomal RNA". It matches the Rfam family "Bacterial small subunit ribosomal RNA", at positions 338 to 795 of the family's 1533-position model. The record is from RNAcentral.
CCUACGGGUGGCAGCAGUGAGGAAUAUUGGUCAAUGGGCGCGAGCCUGAACCAGCCAAGUAGCGUGAAGGAUGACUGCCCUACGGGUUGUAAACUCUUUUUAUAAAGGAAUAAAGUGAGGCACGUGUGCACUUAUGUAUGUACUUUAUGAAUAAGGAACGGCUAACUCGGUGCCAGCAGCCGCGGUAAUACGGAGGAUUUGAGCGUUAUCCGGAUUUAGUGGGUUGAAAGGGAGCGUAGAUGGGUUGUUAAGUCAGUUGUGAAAGUUUGCGGCUCAACCGUAAAAUUGCAAUUGAUACUGGCAGUCUUGAGUACAGUUGAGGUAGGCGGAAUUCGUGGUGUAGCGGUGAAAUGCUUAGAUAUCACGAAGAACUCCGAUUGCGAAGGCAGCUUACUAAACUGCCACUGACAUUGAUGCUCGAAAGUGUGGGGAUCAAACAGGAUUAGAUACCCUUGUAGUC